Molecule: unclassified non-coding RNA, 565 nt
Filed under: Hevea brasiliensis (rubber tree)
Lineage: Eukaryota; Viridiplantae; Streptophyta; Magnoliopsida; Malpighiales; Euphorbiaceae
Source: RNAcentral
CUCUCGUUUUCUGCUCACUUUCCCUCACUUUCUCAUAAACAAAAGGGGUUUAGAAAGACGAAAAACCCUAGCACUCUCUUUAGCAAAAUUUCCCCUUGCUUUCUCUCAUUUUCUCUCGUUUUUUCCUUCCUUCUCCCAAAUGACGCAAUAACCAACGCCAAAAAUGAUACCCAGAUCUUGGUCCCGCUUUCUCUUCCUCCAUUCCCUCAGAAAACCUAAAAAACCCCAAAUUCCUCAACUUUCCCGGCAAGUCUUAGCUUUUCCUCCCACCACCCAAACAUCCCCAUUCUCCUAUUCCUCGACCACCUUCUUCUCCACCUCCUCUGCUGCCUACAACCGUGUCGCCCAGGACCUCUUGGCCGAUCUAGAGCGCGAGAAACAGCGCGAAAGAGAGGCAAGGAAGCGAGCUGGACUAGACACCAAGGACAUUGAUCAAGAGGAUGAAGAGGAUUACUUGGGCGUGGGGCCAUUGAUAGAGAAGCUAGAGCGGAAUAUGAAAGCCCAUACUGGGGAUCUAUAUCUUCGCGAAGAGCCAUCCGAUUCGGAUAGCGAUGAGGAUGAUGAG